RNAcentral lists this transfer RNA (76 nucleotides) under Sphingopyxis terrae. RNAcentral's name for it is "tRNA-Lys". It matches the Rfam family "tRNA". Rfam says of the family: Transfer RNA (tRNA) molecules are approximately 80 nucleotides in length. Their secondary structure includes four short double-helical elements and three loops (D, anti-codon, and T loops). Lineage: Bacteria; Pseudomonadati; Pseudomonadota; Alphaproteobacteria; Sphingomonadales; Sphingopyxidaceae. The record is from RNAcentral.
GGGCCCUUAGCUCAGUCGGCAGAGCAACUGACUUUUAAUCAGUAGGUCGCUGGUUCGAACCCAGCAGGGCUCACCA